Molecule: ribosomal RNA, 253 nt
Filed under: uncultured bacterium
Lineage: Bacteria
Description: partial 16S ribosomal RNA
Rfam family: Bacterial small subunit ribosomal RNA
Source: RNAcentral
UACGAAGGGGGCUAGCGUUGUUCGGAAUUACUGGGCGUAAAGCGCGCGCAGGCGGUUUCUCAAGUCAGUGGUGAAAGCCCGGAGCUCAACUCCGGAACUGCCAUUGAAACUGUGAAACUUGAGGACGAGAGAGGUGAGUGGAAUUCCCAGUGUAGAGGUGAAAUUCGUAGAUAUUGGGAAGAACACCGGUGGCGAAGGCGGCUCACUGGCCCGGUACUGACGCUGAGGUGCGAAAGCGUGGGGAGCAAACAGG